RNAcentral lists this ribosomal RNA (468 nucleotides) under uncultured bacterium. RNAcentral's name for it is "partial 16S ribosomal RNA". It matches the Rfam family "Bacterial small subunit ribosomal RNA", at positions 28 to 507 of the family's 1533-position model. The record is from RNAcentral.
GACGAACGCUGGCGGCGUGCUUAACACAUGCAAGUCGAACGGAAAGGCCCUGCUUUUGUGGGGUGCUCGAGUGGCGAACGGGUGAGUAACACGUGAGUAACCUGCCCUUGACUUUGGGAUAACUUCAGGAAACUGGGGCUAAUACCGGAUAGGAGCUCCUGCUGCAUGGUGGGGGUUGGAAAGUUUCGGCGGUUGGGGAUGGACUCGCGGCUUAUCAGCUUGUUGGUGGGGUAGUGGCUUACCAAGGCUUUGACGGGUAGCCGGCCUGAGAGGGUGACCGGCCACAUUGGGACUGAGAUACGGCCCAGACUCCUACGGGAGGCAGCAGUGGGGAAUAUUGCACAAUGGGCGGAAGCCUGAUGCAGCAACGCCGCGUGCGGGAUGACGGCUUUCGGGUUGUAAACCGCUUUCGCCUGUGAUGAAGCGUGAGUGACGGUAAUGGGUAAAGAAGCACCGGCUAACUACGUG